GUGAAACCGCGAAAGGCUCAUUAAAUCAGUUAUGGUUCCUUAGAUCGUACCCACAAUUACUUGGAUAACUGUGGUAAUUCUAGAGCUAAUACAUGCAAACAGAGCUCCGACCGGAGACGGAAGGAGUGCUUUUAUUAGAUCAAAACCAAUCGGUGGCGGGUUCGCCCGUUAUCGUAUAACUUGGUGACUCUGAAUAACUUUACGCUGAUCGCACGGUCAUCGCACCGGCGACGCAUCUUUCAAAUGUCUGCCUUAUCAACUGUCGAUGGUAGGUUCUGCGCCUACCAUGGUUGUAACGGGUAACGGGGAAUCAGGGUUCGAUUCCGGAGAGGGAGCCUGAGAAACGGCUACCACAUCCAAGGAAGGCAGCAGGCGCGCAAAUUACCCACUCCCGGCACGGGGAGGUAGUGACGAAAAAUAACGAUACGGGACUCAUCCGAGGCCCCGUAAUCGGAAUGAGUACACUCUAAACCCUUUAACGAGGAUCAAUUGGAGGGCAAGUCUGGUGCC
Molecule: ribosomal RNA, 510 nt
Filed under: Trigonopterus sp. 606 AR-2022a
Lineage: Eukaryota; Metazoa; Arthropoda; Insecta; Coleoptera; Curculionidae
Description: SSU rRNA
Rfam family: Eukaryotic small subunit ribosomal RNA
Source: RNAcentral